CACUAUGCCUAGCCUUAAACUUAGAUAGACCGAUACUUACACCUAUCCGCCCGGGCACUACGAGCACGAGCUUGAAACCCAAAGGACUUGGCGGCGCUUCAUACCCACCUAGAGGAGCCUGUUCUGGAACCGAUGACCCCCGUUCAACCUCACCUUCUCUUGUUCCUCCCGCCUAUAUACCGCCGUCGUCAGCUCACCCUAUGAAGGCCCAGUAGUGAGCGAAACUGGUACAGCCCAAAACGUCAGGUCGAGGUGUAGCGUAUGAGAAGGGAAGAAAUGGGCUACAAUUGCUUAAAUAGCUAAAACGAAUUGUAACGCUGAAAACGCAGACAUGAAGGAGGAUUUAGAAGUAAGGGGGAAGCAGAGUGUUCCCCUGAAAUGGCCCUGAAGCGUGCACACACCGCCCGUCACUCUCCCCAAGUAAAACCAUCAAGAAUAACUAAACAUUUCACCCUACAGAGGGGAGGCAAGUCGUAA
This 477-nucleotide ribosomal RNA is filed under the name Ostorhinchus cyanosoma (yellowstriped cardinalfish). RNAcentral describes it as "partial small subunit ribosomal RNA". It matches the Rfam family "Bacterial small subunit ribosomal RNA", at positions 788 to 1491 of the family's 1533-position model. The record is from RNAcentral. Lineage: Eukaryota; Metazoa; Chordata; Actinopteri; Kurtiformes; Apogonidae.